This 4974-nucleotide long non-coding RNA is filed under the name Homo sapiens (human). RNAcentral's name for it is "HSALNT0153197". The record is from RNAcentral. Lineage: Eukaryota; Metazoa; Chordata; Mammalia; Primates; Hominidae.
UGAGAAGAUAGCAAAAGCUGAAGCAGACACAGAAUCCACAAGUGGAAAAUACAGCAGUGCCAUUAAAGGAGUGGGCAUGUGGCCUAUUUCUGGCCCUAUGAAGCAAAAGGAGAGGUCUGCUGGGAGACUUCCUGAAACUGCUCUUCCUGGAAGGAGGGAAACAAACAAAACAACAACAAAAGAACUUUACAAGAGAAAGCUUUUUAUCCCAGCCCCUUCCUACUCCCAUUGAAUGCAGCUCUGUGAGGACACGAUAUUUGAAGCUGCAGUAGCUGAGGUGGCAAAAGAUGGCAGAACAGAAGAGCAGACAGAAUCUGGGUCCUAGAUGACUUCAUUGCACUGCUGCAACUGCCUUCUCCAGACCUCUUGCCAGGUGAGAAAAUUAAAUGUCAUCAUUGCUUAAGCCCCUGGGAGACUAGAUUCUGUUACUUGCCACUGAAUGCAUCCUAAUGCUGUAACUGUCUCUUGCACUGAAACCAACUUGCAAAAUUUACAGCACAAACUCUGCCCAUGUAUGAAGAGAAUGUAAAAAAGCAUUGCAAACAUCUCUUUUGGGAAAAUAAAUGGAUAACACCAUUUUUUCUUUUCAUUUGAGUUGUCCUAUCUUUGGCAAGUGAAAGCUGAAAAGCAGAAUUUUCACAUAUAAAUCAAAUUUCCCCAUUUCCCUCCUGGCAAGGGGUAAGAAACUCUUAGCCCAUACAUGCUUUCUAAUUAGUUAAGAAUUGGAUUUCAAGCCCUACUCUUAUUGUUCGGUUUAUUCUGCUUAGUUCAUUCAGAUAAGAGAAUCCUUGAAGGUAAGGUUUAGGGUAGUCAAACAGUUAUGAACAAUGGUUGUGAAUUAUGACAUAUUCCAGCAUUUUGGAGCAGCAGCUUAGUCAGCUAUCCUCAGAGCCAGUCUGAGGACUCUGACCAAUACCAGUGUGGGUUGUCUAAACAAAUUAAUUUUUAAAAGUAAGGAAUGUGUCUUUUCAGGCCUGUGGUUCCCUAUGGAAACACUGACAAGAACAGGUGGAAGAAAUAUGUGGUCUUCGGUUAAAAACUCUUCAGGGUUCAAAGAAGGGCACUCUCACAUCAUGUGAUGGGUGAGCUCUAGUCAUUCUGUGAGAGGAACUCCAGGAGACCAGAUCCAACUCGCAAUCAGCUAUAGUGAAGUUAUGAUAUGAGAAGCACCAACUUGGCACAAGACUUGGGAAAGGCAAUGAGGCAGCAGGCAAGCUUUAAGGGAUGACACUUACCUUGAGGGAGCAAGGACAAGUUGUGACCUUCCCAGUCCUCUCUCCAUUUGCAGAUCAGCAAGCUUCUGUCAGCAAGGAGGGGUGGACAAUGAAACUGGGUUCAGCUUGAUUUGUUUUUUGAGACAGGUAUGGCAAGGGGCUGCCAACAAGGUAAGUCAUCUUUGGACAAGCCAAGUGCUUUGGGAAACAAUUGUUUCUGAAAAUAAGUGUUUGUGUCAAACAUUCUCUUUGUUAGUAGGAGACAUUUUUGUUGGAUCAUGUUGUCCUCAGCAAAAGAGGUUGCAGAGAAGUUAAGGAAGUUGGGAUAACUUAGAGUCUCAGUGCUUUGGGGCAAUUUACAGACAGCACUGUGUGAUCCUCCCAUCUCAGGACUUACAUCAUGUUGCUAACUCCCUCACUGGGGGCCAUGGUUCUGAAAGGAAGAAAGCAUGUCUUAUUCACUCACCUUUGAGUCUCCAGCACUGAGCACAGCACCUGUCACUCAGUAGGCACUCAAUAAAUGUAAAUUGAUAUGAAACAUGACACGUGGUGCCUUUUACAGAACAAAAAUUAAUUUGUCCUAAAGGCCUCCAGGGAUGCAAUUCUGAAUUUUAGUAUGUGUCUACCUUAGGGUUGAGGUUAAUGUUUAAGUGUGACAAGAAAGGGUUAGUUUGGCUGAAAUAGUUCUUCCUGUGGUAUUAACUGGUAAAAUGAAAUAUAAUGUCAUUCUAAUCUCUUCCAAGCCUUUCCUGAUUCAAACAUGGAAAUGUGUUUCUGCAGAUUGGGGCGUUUCAGCUAAAGGUUCAACGAGAUUAAAAAGGAGAAAGCUUGAGUCGUUUGAGUCAAUAUCACAAACAGGAUUUAGGUAUUCAUUAAGAUAAGGAUAAACUGCUAAAUUUAGGUUUACUCAUGAUUAAUUUGUUUGAUGUAUUUCCUUGCAGAAUAAUACAUGAACUAGAUUUUGAAUGUGAUACAGACACACACCAUUUUUUACAAUAUAUAGCUUAAAAAUUUAGAUGUAUUCUAUGUGUACAAUCCAGAAAGGAGAUGAAAUCCUGCCUCCUCUUUUAUAAACUUAUUUGGAGGGGGAGCUAAAUGGAAGCCAAAUUUUUGCUGAACUCAAAUUGGCCAUGGAUUCUGGAUACACUGGGGCUGGAGAAGGGUAUGGUUGAGAAGGACAAGAGGCAUUGCACAAACACAUUCCUGGAAAUAAAUCUACACAGACUGGUUGACUUGAAAACUGGUUAAUCAGAAAUUUUGCCCUGCUUCGGGUAAAGCUAGAAACAUUGAAUCCCAACUCUGUGAGUAACAUGCCUAAUAGGAAAACUGAAAAUUCUGUGUAUUUCUUUUCCAAAAUUAAAUGGCAGCCAACGUUUGCAGAAAAAAAAAAAAAAAAACAACCACAAUGGGGAAUUAGAUUACAGCUGUUUGCUUAAAAAUUGAUAACUGAUUUUGUUGUUUCUUUAAUGGAAAUAUUUGUAUUGUGCAUUCUUGUUGUUGUCUGAAGAAAAAUGGUGAGAAUAUUACAGUGCGACUGCAGAAUACAAGUUUGAUAGAACUAAUCUGAUUUACCUUAGAUACACUCCUCAUUCGGGAGAAUUUAUUUAACUGGUAAUUUAAUUUAGGUGGAGAGGCACUUUAAUUGGAGUUGAUUACUGUGGGAUUUUUACAUAAAGUACGAUGCACUCUUGAGUUACAGCACCACAUGAUGUAAAAUUGGGUAAUUUUAAGCCACUGGAUAUUUUUAUCCCAACUAUAAUAGAAUUUGCUGAAAAAUGCUUAUUAACUGAAACUGUUUUCUAGGUUGGAUACUAUUUGGAAAAUCUUUGGCACUAUGUCAAAGAUGGUUGGAAAUUUACUAAAGCUAGCAGACCAAAAAACAAAACAAAACAAAACAAAAAGACUUAAUUUAUUAGGACUGCAGUGGUGAUGUGUUGUCACUUCAGGACACCCCACUACCUGAAUUGCAGCAGUGUUGCGAAUCAUCACUCUGCAGUGAAUGGGAAUUUUUGGUUUAGAGUUUAACAGAUUUUCCUGGUCUUUCUCCUAGCGACUGACACAGAAAUACGAAAGAAUAAAAUGAUUCCAAAAAAAAAAAAAACACCUACAUUAACCAUUUGGGGGUAAAAACGAUGAAAAUGUAAAGGCAAAUGAUGAAUUUAUCAAAAAGAAUGAAGGAACAGAUAGCAUAUGUAUGUAGGAACACAGUAGCUUUAAAAUAUCAGAAAGAUGAAGGACAGAAAUGCCAAGUGAAGCAGAGGGUUUCUACAUUUGUCUUCUGCUUUUGCAUGUCCCACAUUCCCUUAUGUAAUAGAUCUUUAAUGGAUUCCCUACUGUCACAGAACCUUUAUAAGACCAGCCUAUGGAGAAUGCAAAGGAACUAAAUAAUGGACAGUUAACGUUCUGGAAAAGCAAUUUAUUAUCUUGCUAGGAGCUGGCUUCUCAUUGCAUUUAGAAUAAACUUUAAACAGCUAUAUCAUCUUCCAGGCCUGAUAUGAUCUGGCCCCUGCAAACUUACCUUCACAUCUUCCACUCCCAUCCUCAUUCUUCAGGCUCUAGCUACACUGGCUUUCUUUCAUCCUUGGACUUUCUACACUGGUUCUUUCUGCAAGGCUUUGCACUGCCAUGCUCUCUCUCUGGAAUGCUUUUCCUUUGACUAAAUUUUUCCAUGUAAUUCAGGUCUUAGUUCAAUUUUAAUCUCCCCUAAGAGAUUUCCCAUCCUAUCUAAAGCAGUCUAUGCCCUUCCCUAUCCCUAGGUCCCGCAAUCACAUUACCUAGUUAGAUUUCCUUCAAACCUCUUGAAAUUCCCUUAUUUAUUCUUUUGAGUUUUUUUCCACUUCACCUUCCCCAUAGAACAUGAGCUCCUCAGUGUCAGGGGUCUUCUGUUUCGUUCACUGCUAUAUCCCCAACACCUAGAAUAGAACAUGACACACAGUGAGCCAUGAAUGAAUGAGAAAGAGUACAGGACUCACAGUGGAACUGCCUAUGAACAAAAGGAAUACUGGACAAAAAGAAAUGGACUAGGGAAGAAAAUCAGGAAGAAGAGGAACAAAGAAUGGGGUCUAGGGACUGAGAAUUGGUUAUAGUGUACAAUUUUAGCCCCUAUAAAAAAGUUUUUUACAUGCAUUCCAAGCAGAGGGAAUGGCAAGUGCUAAGAGGAAGUCUUUCCAUCACUACACACAGCUGUUUUUUACUUUGUUGUUGUUAGUGGUUUUGUUUUCAGUGUGUGUGUUGGGAGUGGGGGGAGGAUGGGUGUGAGGGAUCUCUGCGUGUUUCUCUCAGGGGAAGGCUGGGUUUUCUCUUUCAGCCUACAGGUGUUGCUGCAUGUUCUUGGGGUGGCCAAUGGAGCACUAGACAGGAAUACCACCCAUGGCAGCUCUGCAACUUAUUCUAAGACUUUUAGGGCAAGAGGCAGGAAAGAGUGAAGGAAUGAUCACCACAUUGUACCAGGGGUAUACCAGUGAGAGGUAAGAUGAUCUGGGUGGUAGCAGUGACCCCCACUUUUUUUACCCAGAAAAAGAUGGAUAAAUGCUCUGACAUUGCUGUGACCCAGGGAUCUGUGGCCAUGGUUGCUUGUGCAGGCAGCAGCCAAUACUUCUGAAUGGCUCCCUUGGGACUACAAAACUGUGUGUGGGCGCAGGGAGCCCAUACUAUUUGCCACAUCAGAAAAAUCCAUUCAUGAAAAGGAAAGACAGAGAAUGAUAAAAGUCUUCUCAGAAAGCCUUAGCAAAAUGGGUGCUUUUAUUUUCACAGACAUGUC